RNAcentral lists this ribosomal RNA (251 nucleotides) under uncultured bacterium. RNAcentral describes it as "partial 16S ribosomal RNA". It matches the Rfam family "Bacterial small subunit ribosomal RNA", at positions 525 to 775 of the family's 1533-position model. The record is from RNAcentral.
ACGUAGGGAGCGAGCGUUGUCCGGAUUUACUGGGUGUAAAGGGUGCGUAGGCGGGAUGGCAAGUCAGAUGUGAAAUACCGGGGCUUAACCCCGGGGCUGCAUUUGAAACUGUCGUUCUUGAGUGAAGUAGAGGCAGGCGGAAUUCCUAGUGUAGCGGUGAAAUGCGUAGAUAUUAGGAGGAACACCAGUGGCGAAGGCGGCCUGCUGGGCUUUAACUGACGCUGAGGCACGAAAGCAUGGGGAGCAAACAG